GAGCGCCCAUUAACUCAUGGCAAGAAUGUAAAAUGAUGCAACUGCUUUGGAAAACUGUUUGGCAAUAUGUUUGGGAAUUAAAUACACAACUACCACAUGAUCUAGCCAUUUCAUUCCUAGGCAUUUACCCAAGAGAAUUACCAAAAGUCUUGUACACAAAUGUUCAUAGCAGCUUGAUUUGUAAUAACCAGAAACUGGAAACAACGCAAACGUGUAUCACCAUGUGAAGAGAUAAACAAGUGGUGUUAUAUCCAUACAAUAGAGCACUACUGAGUAAUGAAAAGUGAUGAACUAUUCAUACAUGCAUCAAGAUGGAUGAAUUCCAAAAUAACUAUUCUGAAGAGGAGCCAGACAGAAAAGGAGAACAUGCUUUAUGAUUCCAUUUAUGUCAGGGUUGCAGCUAUUGGAGACGUGGUCUGCGAGCCUCUUGCCAUCUAACUUCUCAGGUCCUGCGAAGUCCAUCUGGACACGCUGUCUGUUACAGGUUACAGCCCUGCUUCACAAACAACUUCUUAGUGGCUUUUGGAUCAGUUCUUGUCAGAUCCUCCCUGGGGAAAAAAGGGAAA
RNAcentral lists this long non-coding RNA (566 nucleotides) under Mustela putorius furo (domestic ferret). RNAcentral's name for it is "lncRNA (ENSMPUG00000028558.1)". Lineage: Eukaryota; Metazoa; Chordata; Mammalia; Carnivora; Mustelidae. The record is from RNAcentral.